AUACACAACUGUUCGGCGGCCCUCCGCUCCGCAACUCCGCUUCGGGAGCGGCACCGAACACCUCAACUCCGUGAGUCUCUAAUCUGGGAGUGGAGCGGCACAUAGUAGAUUUUCCCGACGUAGCAAAAGUGAUGCUCCACGAACUCUGCCUUGGCUCCGCGUAAGAAACAGCCUUGAAGAAAAGAGCGUCUUGCCCAGCCCCAAUUCCCCUCGCCUCCAAGCCUAGCCGCCGCCGCACGCGCAUCGUCGCCGCCCCGACGCGCCACUCGCCAGUGCUGCACCACACGUUCCCCCGCAUAUGUCUCGUCCCCGACCUCACCCAGCCGUGCAUCUCCGCCUCCCGCUGUACCGCCCGCCCUACCAGCCCCGCCGCCCUCACUCUGGUCGUGCUUCAACGCCGCCAGCCAUCACCGAGCCCCUACACGGACGUCACUGAUGCUGCCGGCCGUCCUCAUCCUCCUCCACAUCCCGCUUCCCAGCGCCUCCCUCCAUCCAAUUCUUCACCAAGGCCCUGCACUCCGUCUCUUCACCGAGCACAAACGCCGCUGGCCGUCCUCGUCCUUCCAUAUAUCCGGCAAGCUGAGGACAUCACAUCAGCAGUUCAGCACCCCUUUAUUUUUUCUACCCAACCCGUAGCACCUAUCCCAGCCGGUGAUGGAUGUACAUUAUUUUCUGAAACUUGUUUUCAGGAGUUGGAGUUGGCAGCCGAACAUAUCUUCAGAUUCUGAAAUGAGCUACCGGAGUUAAGAGUUGAGGAGUGAGGAGCAGAGUUAAGAAUUUGGAGGAGUGGAGUGUUGCCGAACAGGAUGCCUUUGCAGAUCUUUUGGUUCUCAGGUUUAAAUAGAUGAUAACAUGAGAUACACUUUAGAAUGCGCUGAGGAUGGCAUGAGGGUUCUGCUAUUUGAUUACGAUAACUCAUAACCCUUGUGCAAAACUGGAGCUAUUCAACCAUAUCCGUUGGUGGUGAAGGUUCGGAAUGCAAGAGGUUGAGCAGAAACUUCUCUCAUGGGUAGCACCUGAGAGCUGACAUUCUUCUCCAGUGUGACAAGUAGAAUUAUGCUCAAGCAGAGGAGCUCGCUUUAUGAAGGAGGUCAUUGGUACCCUUUCAACAUCUCAAUACAUGAUCAUGUCAAGGGUAAAGCAGAAUACUCCAUAUCUUUGUUCGAGAGAGAAUGAUGAUUGAACAUCGCCUCACUGCAAUAUGCUGGGUGUAGGCCUGGAAGGCAACCAAACUCAGUCUAGUAUGCCCUGAGAUGAUUCAAGAUCUGCACACACAGUCACACGUCGAAGAUAUAUUCUUUAUCAGCAUGUUAGCUUCUGUGGUGUAUAUACUGCCACUGUUAUAUGCAUUUGUUGAAUCAAAUAGUUAAUAUCAAAUGAUAUGAUGCACAUGAUCUUAUGAA
Molecule: long non-coding RNA, 1403 nt
Organism: Aegilops tauschii subsp. strangulata
Lineage: Eukaryota; Viridiplantae; Streptophyta; Magnoliopsida; Poales; Poaceae
Source: RefSeq, a predicted model, not a curated record